GUUUUGGGUUGGAUGGAAUGGUGUGUAUAGGGCGGUUUUGGGUUGGAUGGAAUGGUGUGUAUAGGGAAGUUUUGGGUUGGAUGGAAUGGUGUGUAUAGGGUGGUUUUGGGUUGGAUGGAAUGGUGUGUAUAGGGUGGUUUUGGGUUGGAUGGAAUGGUGUGUAUAGGGUGGUUUUGGGUUGGAUGGAAUGGCGUGUAUAGGGCGGUUUUGGGAUGGAUGGAAUGGCGUGUAUAGGGGCGGUUUUGGGUUGGAUGGAAUGGCGUGUAUAGGGUGGUUUUGGGUUGGAUGGAAUGGCGUGUAUAGGGAAGUUUUGGGUUGGAUGGAAUGGUGUGUAUAGGGCGGUUUUGGGUUGGAUGGAAUGGUGUGUAUAGGGUGGUUUUGGGUUGGAUGGAAUGGCGUGUAUAGGGUGGUUUUGGGUUGGAUGGAAUGGCGUGUAUAGGGUGGUUUUGGGUUGGAUGGAAUGGUGUGUAUAGGGUGGUUUUGGGUUGGAUGGAAUGGCGUGUAUAGGGUGGUUUUGGGUUGGAUGGAAUGGUGUGUAUAGGGUGGUUUUGGGUUGGAUGGAAUGGCGUGUAUAGGGAAGUUUUGGGUUGGAUGGAAUGGUGUGUAUAGGGCGGUUUUGGGUUGGAUGGAAUGGUGUGUAUAGGGUGGUUUUGGGUUGGAUGGAAUGGCGUGUAUAGGGCGGUUUUGGGAUGGAUGGAAUGGUGUGUAUAGGGUGGUUUUGGGUUGGAUGGAAUGGUGUGUAUAGGGCGGUUUUGGGUUGGAUGGAAUGGUGUGUAUAGGGUGGUUUUGGGUUGGAUGGAAUGGUGUGUAUAGGGCGGUUUUGGGUUGGAUGGAAUGGUGUGUAUAGGGAAGUUUUGGGUUGGAUGGAAUGGUGUGUAUAGGGCAGUUUUGGGUUGGAUGGAAUGGUGUGUAUAGGGAAGUUUUGGGUUGGAUGGAAUGGUGUGUAUAGGGCGGUUUUGGGAUGGAUGGAAUGGCGUGUAUAGGGUGGUUUUGGGUUGGAUGGAAUGGUGUGUAUAGGGCGGUUUUGGGUUGGAUGGAAUGGUGUGUAUAGGGUGGUUUUGGGUUGGAUGGAAUGGCGUGUAUAGGGAAGUUUUGGGUUGGAUGGAAUGGCGUGUAUAGGGCGGUUUUGGGUUGAAUGGAAUGGUGUGUAUAGGGAAGUUUUGGGUUGGAUGGAAUGGUGUGUAUAGGACGGUUUUGGGUUGGAUGGAAUGGUGUGUAUAGGGUGGUUUUGGGUUGGAUGGAAUGGCGUGUAUAGGGCGGUUUUGGGAUGGAUGGAAUGGUGUGUAUAGGGUGGUUUUGGGUUGGAUGGAAUGGUGUGUAUAGGGCGGUUUUGGGUUGGAUGGAAUGGUGUGUAUAGGGUGGUUUUGGGUUGGAUGGAAUGGUGUGUAUAGGGCGGUUUUGGGUUGGAUGGAAUGGUGUGUAUAGGGCGGUUUUGGGUUGGAUGGAAUGGUGUGUAUAGGGUGGUUUUGGGAUGGAUGAGUGUGCUUCUAGUUUCACAUUUUCAAGUUUUAUUUAUCACAUGCACAAGUAGAGUGAAAUGCUUAACUUGUGAGCCCUUCCCAACAAUGCAGUACAUUGAUGCAUGCAGGGUUGUGUGUACCUGUGCAGUUAGGCUAUAUUUCUCAAAGUGUGCAUCAUUGUUGAAUGCAUUACUGUGCCUAGUGUGGCGGAGGUGAGUCAGACUCACGCUCACGUGUUCAGCUAGUCUUCCCCCAGUUACACCAG
This 1725-nucleotide long non-coding RNA is filed under the name Salmo salar (Atlantic salmon). RNAcentral describes it as "lncRNA (ENSSSAG00000109021.1)". Lineage: Eukaryota; Metazoa; Chordata; Actinopteri; Salmoniformes; Salmonidae. The record is from RNAcentral.